RNAcentral lists this ribosomal RNA (441 nucleotides) under uncultured bacterium. RNAcentral's name for it is "partial 16S ribosomal RNA". It matches the Rfam family "Bacterial small subunit ribosomal RNA", at positions 338 to 795 of the family's 1533-position model. The record is from RNAcentral.
CCUACGGGAGGCAGCAGUCAGGAAUAUUGCUCAAUGGAGGAAACUCUGACGCAGUGACGCCGCGUGCAGGAUGAAGGUUUUCUGAUUUUUAACUUCUUUAGACAAGGAAAUAAAAAGACGGUACCUGUCGAAUAAGCUCCGGCUAACUACGUGCCAGCAGCCGCGGUAAUACGUAGGACGCAAGCGUUAUCCGGAUGUACUGGGUGUAAAGGGUUAGUAGACGGAGAAACAAGUCAGUUGUGAAAUUCCUCGGCUUAACUGAGGAAAUGCAACUAAAACUGGUUAUCUUGAGUACUGGAGAGGAAAGUGGAAUUCCUAGUGUAGCGGUGAAAUGCGUAGAUAUUAGGAAGAACCCCAGUGGCGAAGGCGACUUUCUGGACAGUAACUGACGUUGAGGCACGAAAGUGUGGGGAGCAAACAGGAUUAGAUACCCUUGUAGUC